This 1242-nucleotide long non-coding RNA is filed under the name Coturnix japonica (Japanese quail). RNAcentral describes it as "lncRNA (ENSCJPG00005008256.1)". Lineage: Eukaryota; Metazoa; Chordata; Aves; Galliformes; Phasianidae. The record is from RNAcentral.
CGACGCCGGGGCCGGUUCUCCCCCCAUACGCACACACCACCACCACCGCCACCGCCACACACCCACCGCCCGCCGGGCCCUGCGGCAGCGCGGGACCGCUUACCUGCUGCUUCCCCUCGGUGGUGCGCGGGGCCGGGCAGCGCCGCUCGGGGGCACCGCGGAGGUUUCCUCGCCGCGAACCGAGCGCGGCGCCCGCCGCUCGCGCGCCCUUCGGCAGCCCCCGCUCCGGGCCGGACGAACGCGGAGCCGGCGCCGAGGGGCGCCCGCCGCCCUCCGGCCCCGCGGAGCCGCACGCGCAGGGGCCGCCGCCGCCGCCGCAAGUUUGGCGCCGCGGCCGCACUUCGCGCCGCUCCCCCCGCCCCCACCUCCGCCCCUCCGCCGGGCUCCGGCGGCGGCCGAGCUCCCGCGGCGCGGAGCCGAGCGGCCGCGGCCCCGCCGAGCGCUGCGAGCGGAGGAACGGAGAGCGGGGCGGCGGCGGCGGCGCAGAGAGCAGAGCGGGGCCCGGGGGGCGCGCGUGUCCCUGCGCGAUGCGAGCGGGCCCGCGUGCUGCGCGGCCGCUGCCCCUCACUCACACAUGUGUUACUGACAGAGCAGAAUCCCAACUACACUCCGGCCCGGCCCCGCCGCCCGCCCGCCGCAGCCAAUCCGCCCCCGGCUUGUUCAGGCGGAAUAAUAAAACCUGCCAAUCCCGGAGAAGACAAAGGAAUGAGUGAAAGAGGAGGAAAAAAAAAAAAAAAAAAAAAAGAGAGCGAGGGAGAGAAGGGGGGGCAGAGAGGAGGAGGGGAAUGGAGGGGAAGGAGGGAGUCAGGUGGGAAGCGGCGCCCGCCGCCCCCGCCCGGCGCUGCGGAGCGGCGGCCGAGGGCAACGAGCUGCCGGCGGCGGCGGCGGCACCGCGCCCCGCUCCGCUCGCGGCCACCAGUUGAGAAAGUUGCCGGCUCCCGCCCCGAGCGGCGGCACGCGGCUGAGCGCUGCGGCACCGGCCCUCGUGGCGCCCUCUGGGCACGGCGCGUCGCGCUGCCCGCGGCCCGAUCCUCAGCCACUGCGCCGGGAGGGCUCCGCGUCCCGCGUUGGGGUCGGAGCCGCGUGGGUCUCUGCCGGGAGGACGGCACCCCCCGCACCCUGACCACAACCAGCGGUUGGCAAUCGGUGCCGGGUACGGCCCGCGGCAAGCAGCGCCCUACGAGGGUCACGGCGCUGCCCGGACGGCGCUCGGUGCGCGGCGGAACGCGGCUGCGUUGCUGA